UCACAAUUUGCCAUUAUAUAAGGAGGCUAAGGUCAUGAAACAUGUUUUUUUUUUCUUUUUACAACCCUGUAGUCCCUUAAUUCAAGGUAUAGCCCAGAUGACUGGAUGGAGCUGAGAGUUUACUGCCUGGAGGCCCUUCCUGAUGCCUAUGUGGAGUUUGCUGCAGAUAUUUUUUUCUGCCCUAAGAGAGAAACAUCUGUUGCUACCUAGGAUUGAGCUCUCAACCUUCCAAGUGGAGCAUCUUCACUACUGGCCCACCACAUCAAAGCCUUUCUAAUUAGACUGAGACUAGAGAGUGGAUGACUAGAGAGAUGGCACACAGCUACAUUUGCCAGCAGGAAAUAAGGUCCUUGCCAGGCUGUCUGUUGAAUCUUUAUCUUGAAAUUAUUUGGAUGAAAAGCCCUCUGGAACCUGGAAAAGAUUUCCAGCUUCCAUUUGAUGCUGCUCAACAUCUACAUGACACCGAUUGGAGAAGCCAUCAAAGAUUUUGGAGUGGAUUCCACUUGAGUAUUGAAGAUAUCUACUUAUAUUGCUUCUUGUUAUCUCCAAGGAAGUAUUUGUACCACUGACUAACUUUAUUAGUAACUGGUUGACAUUAAAUCCAAACUGACUGGAAAUGCCAUGGAAAAGUAGAAAACUGGAUUAGAAAUGUGGAGGGUGUUUCAUUUCCUCCUGAGGGAGUGGGUCCAUAUUCUGGGAAUGCACCUUGAUUAUCAAUUGUCACCGAAUCUGCAGGUUGAGGCUGUCAUGAGGAGUACUUUUGCAUAAUUAAGAUUAGUAUUCCAGCCAGCUUUGGUUCCCUAUUGGAAUGUGUUAUAUAUAGAUUACUUUGAAAUUACUGAAAAAAGAUAACUAGUCAACUAAUGUAACUGGCCAUGCUCUAGGAAUCCCAUGAUACCUACAAUACAGAAGAACUGCAUUGCCUAUCAAAUGUUUAUUGGACAAAUUUAAGAUGUUGCUAUUGCCCUGCUAUCAGGGCUUUGAACCUGAAGGUCUGCCUCUCUGAUUAUAAACUUAUUUGGCUACUGAAAUAUGCAGAAAAUGCUCUUUUAAGAAUACUGUGUCAGGUUCCAAGUAAUGCACCCAUUACAAAUCAAACUCCUUUCUUUCUUUGUUUUAAUUUAUAUGCCGUCCUUCUCCAGAGACUCAGGGCGGCUUACAAUGCAUUGCAUUCCCUCAAAGAACAAAUUUAUUUAGAUACAACAUCUUGGCACUACUAAUAGUUUCUCAAUUUUCCAAAACAAACUGUCACAUUGUCCAACCAAGAUAAGAGCUAGUUGCUUGGUGACUUCUCUCCUCCUCCUCCAGUUAGCCAGCUAUUGGAAUGUACUUGACUCAUCAGCUAACUAUGUUGUUUUGGCUGAAGGCUCUAUCCUCCUCGGUUCUCCCCACUUCAGCUUCGAACUGUGCCAAACUGAAUUCAUGUCAGAGUACCCAAGGAUACAAACAAUCCCACACCCCAAUCAAAUUCAGACUUGAUAUACUGACUUUGGUCCUGAUAUACGGGAACAUAAUUACAAAAUUUACAUAAUUUUGACUGGGCUAGCAAUGCAAAUGAAGAUGCAUUUGGCUGUCCUUGCUAGCAUUUAAAAAAUCUGUAAAAAUAUUUUUAACUAUCAGUUGAUUUUCUUCUUAGUAGUGUAGUAGAAUCUUUUGUAUAUUGCUUUGUGAAAUUUUUUGAGCAUUUGAGCAAAAAGCAAUGUACAAGUAGAAUUUAUUAAUAAAUUAUGCAAUAAAGUCUGGAAAAAACCACCAGAAAAAGGCAAGUUUAUUGUAAAUAGUCUAAUUAUUAAAUAGACAUAGAGGAUUUCUCCCAGUUCUUAUUUGCAUAUUUUUCAAGUUCUGUACUAGCAUAUCAACAACUGUACUGAACUAUAUAAUUCUAUUUUAUGCAGAUCAAACUGUUUAAAGAAAGCUCAGUCUGCCUAUUCAUAGAUGAAUAUAUUCUGCUUCCAUAAAUAUGCAUACAUAUGAGCGCAUACUCAUGAGUAUGAUUCAAUUAUUAGCUUCUUACAAUAAUUUUAUUAUCAUGAAAUUAGAUCAUAUAAUAUCAAUAUCAUCCAUCUAAUAAUUUGAAAUUACUUAGGCUCAGAAUAUGUGAAGGACCCUGUUACUUGGCUGUACUAUUAGUUGAUUAAUAAUCAUGGUUGCUAUUUGUAUUUGUUAAUUUUAUGGAAAUUUUAAUUUUUCUAAUGUUUUUAAAUUGUUCUAAUUGUUUUAUAAUUUUAGAAUUUUAAGCCACCCAGAUUUACUUGGUUGAGAUGGGUGGAUUUAGAGGUUGAAUAAAUAAAUAAAUUGGCCAUUCUAAUUUUCAUAGACAAUACAGUCCUGAAAUUCUAAAUGCUGAAUAUUAUUUGCCUGAUUCAGAUGAACUCCGGGGACAGGAUUCUGGUAUGGAUAAAGAGGAUUCAAUAAAUACAUGCACGAUACAGGCUAUUUGCAAUGUGAUUCUCAUGUGUCCUAGAACAUAAAAAACUGACACAAAAUGUACAUGUACACAAAAUGUAUGAAUGUUCUAAUGAGAAUGUUAUCACAUUACUAUUGUCUGCUGUGAUAGAAUAAAAGGAAAUAUGGCACUAAAG
This is a long non-coding RNA of Pantherophis guttatus, 2582 nucleotides long. RefSeq lists it as uncharacterized. Lineage: Eukaryota; Metazoa; Chordata; Lepidosauria; Squamata; Colubridae. The record is from RefSeq and is a predicted model, not a curated record.